This 400-nucleotide ribosomal RNA is filed under the name uncultured bacterium. RNAcentral's name for it is "bacterial SSU rRNA". It matches the Rfam family "Bacterial small subunit ribosomal RNA", at positions 28 to 430 of the family's 1533-position model. The record is from RNAcentral.
AUUGAACGCUGGCGGCAUGCUUUACACAUGCAAGUCGAGCGGCAGCGCGGGGGCAACCCUGGCGGCGAGCGGCGAACGGGUGAGUAAUGCAUCGGAACGUACCCUGGAGUGGGGGAUAACGCCGCGAAAGCGGCGCUAAUACCGCAUAUGCUCUGAGGAGGAAAGUGGGGGACCGCAAGGCCUCACGCUCUGGGAGCGGCCGAUGUCCGAUUAGCUAGUUGGUGGGUAAAGGCUUACCAAGGCGACGAUCGGUAGCUGGUCUGAGAGGAUGAUCAGCCACACUGGGACUGAGACACGGCCCAGACUCCUACGGGAGGCAGCAGUGGGGAAUUUUGGACAAUGGGGGCAACCCUGAUCCAGCCAUGCCGCGUGAGUGAAGAAGGCCUUCGGGUUGGUUAAA